RNAcentral lists this ribosomal RNA (292 nucleotides) under uncultured bacterium. RNAcentral describes it as "partial 16S ribosomal RNA". It matches the Rfam family "Bacterial small subunit ribosomal RNA", at positions 505 to 796 of the family's 1533-position model. The record is from RNAcentral.
GUGCCAGCCGCCGCGGUAAUACGGAGGGUGCAAGCGUUGUUCGGAAUUAUUGGGCGUAAAGCGCGUGUAGGCGGUUUGUUAAGUCUGAUGUGAAAGCCCCGGGCUCAACCUGGGAAGUGCAUUGGAAACUGGCAGACUUGAAUACGGGAGAGGGUAGUGGAAUUCCUAGUGUAGGAGUGAAAUCCGUAGAUAUUAGGAGGAACACCGGUGGCGAAGGCGGCUACCUGGACCGAUAUUGACGCUGAGACGCGAAAGCGUGGGGAGCAAACAGGAUUAGAAACCCGAGUAGUCC